UCACCAGUUUGUGAACCAUCAUUCCGUUCCUAUGUUAUCUCUACGAGGAGCUAAGUGAGGUCUAAUAUAUGAGGAAUUAGGAAAGGUUUUAUCGAUUUCUUCGCUUUAAAAAGCACUUAUUUCAAUACCAGAACUGAAUUUUUUAUACCCGUUUGCAAUCACAUCAAUGAGCGUGAUGGCUUAGAUUCCCAAAGGAUGAGAAGCAGAAAAAAAUUGGACCAGAAAUAAAAGGUCAUCACAAAUGGAGUUGGAUUCAUUGGCCCAGCAAUAAGUUUUUCAUAUGGACUGAUAUUCAUUUACAGCUUAAGGUGUUUGUAUUGAAAAUGUACAUAUUAUAAAUGUAUGUAAAAAAAAUAAAA
This is a long non-coding RNA of Uloborus diversus, 359 nucleotides long. RefSeq lists it as uncharacterized. The transcript is spliced from 3 exons. Lineage: Eukaryota; Metazoa; Arthropoda; Arachnida; Araneae; Uloboridae. The record is from RefSeq and is a predicted model, not a curated record.